UGGGGAAUAUUGGACAAUGGGGGCAACCCUGAUCCAGCAAUUCUGUGUGCACGAUGAAGGUUUUCGGAUUGUAAAGUGCUUUCAGCAGGGAAGAAAAAAAUGACGGUACCUGCAGAAGAAGCGACGGCUAAAUACGUGCCAGCAGCCGCGGUAAUACGUAUGUCGCAAGCGUUAUCCGGAAUUAUUGGGCAUAAAGGGCAUCUAGGCGGCCAGAUAAGUCUGGGGUGAAAACUUGCGGCUCAACCGCAAGCCUGCCCUGGAAACUAUGUGGCUAGAGUACUGGAGAGGUGGACGGAACUGCACGAGUAGAGGUGAAAUUCGUAGAUAUGUGCAGGAAUGCCGAUGAUGAAGAUAGUUCACUGGACGGUAACUGGCGCUGAAGUGCGAAAGCUAGGGGAGCAAACAGGAUUAGAUACCCUGGUAGUCCUAGCUGUAAACGAUGAUUACUGGGUGUGGGCAUGAAGAGUGUCCGUGCCGAAGCUAAUGCGAUAAGUAAUCCGCCUGGGGAGUACGGCCGCAAGGCUG
RNAcentral lists this ribosomal RNA (525 nucleotides) under uncultured bacterium. Its description in RNAcentral is "bacterial SSU rRNA". It matches the Rfam family "Bacterial small subunit ribosomal RNA", at positions 355 to 896 of the family's 1533-position model. The record is from RNAcentral.